Protopterus annectens (West African lungfish) is the source of this 3034-nucleotide long non-coding RNA. RefSeq lists it as uncharacterized. The record is from RefSeq and is a predicted model, not a curated record. The transcript has 2 exons. NCBI's taxonomy places the organism in Eukaryota, Metazoa, Chordata, Ceratodontiformes, Protopteridae.
CAGUUUGAAUCACAUUUGUAUUUAUGCUUUUGGAUGCAUCAUUCCAAGUGCUGAGUUUCUGUAAUGGUAUUAUGUCUGUGUGUCUGUCUGCUGGCUUUGGAAAAUGCUCACAGCUUUUUUUCUGCAGCUGCUAUUCUAGCACUAGUUAGUACAGGAUUUACAUCUGAUGUCAUACAGUAUGUGCAGUCUGAAAUCUGGAUUUCGCUUCAUUUGCAUGAGUCACAGUAUAAUUGCUAAUAAACUCUCCCUCCAUCCUUUUAAAAGUAUCUUAAACUAUUUUUUAUUUGCUUCCCUGUUCUGUUUUGCUGGGUAAUUCACUUCGCUGUCAGACUCAUGUUGUCCCCAUGACCUAUUUGUUUUAUCCACUCCAUUCAACCUGAACCAUUGUUUUGCUGUGAUGAAAGGGUGUUGCUUUACCUCAGUUUCCCUUGUGGUAUGGCAUGUAAGGCCAGAGGUCUUUGGAGAAGGAAGUGCCACAGUCAUUAAAGGUUGACAGCUCAUAGAAGCCACUGUAUUUUUCCAGUUAACUCCUCUCAUCCUGUCCCUUGUAUCAAGAUCACUCCUAAUAAGGAAUUGCAUACAGCAGGAUACAUAAUACAAUAAGCAUUCUGGGAAAAAGGGUGCCUCCUGGCCUCAUUCUCUAUACAGAUAUAUUUAAUACACAUUUCAAAAUAUAUUAUUAUUAAAAAAAGCUUGGAAAAAGCAAAUCUGUAAAAUCUGUACACAUGUGCUUUCCAGAGGAAAGUGAAUUUCCCAUUUAGAUUAUAAUUAGAACUUUGGAAACACUUGUGUGAUUCUUAAAGUUGUGUUGAGAUAUACUUCUAACACUAAGGCAGUAUUAUGUAUGGGAGAAGUUAUCUUUAUUUUAUUUUAUGUUUGCACUUGGGUCAGGAGAGAUCCCAAGGCAUAGCUAACUGAAUUUUGGUAAGUUAAGUCAGACAGCUGGGGCAGUGGCUAGGUAGACCUGAGAUCACAAACAUGUAGUGUGGGUGUCCUGGGAACACCUGUCCCAUGCAUCCAUAUGUGAUGAGCUCCACUCUGUCAUCUAGAAAGGGCUUCUCCCAUAUUCCUGGGGAAGUUGGUAAUGUGACAUCUGACUGGACCCUGUUCGAGACCUCAGUAGUUGAUGUAGCAAAAAGAAGCUGUGACCAAAAGGUGGCCAUCGCUUGUCAUGUCAGUAACCAUAAAGAGCUGCUGGUGGACAUUAAAGGUACAGUAAACUGUAAGAUUAAAAAAGGAGGGUUUCUGUGUAGUGCUACUGGGGUUCUCCUGAUCUAACUAACGGGUACAAACAUGCCCAGAAAGCAACAACUGCAACAGUGGCCAAAGUAGAAGCCCAGUUAUGGGAAGAGUUUGUUGAGGUCAUGGAGGAUGACUUUCAGAUGGCCUCAGAGGUUUUGGCAUACUAUCCAAUGAUUUGAGGGAAGAAAGAGAAUGUUGCGGAGGAUCUCUUCAACAUGGGUGAAAAAAUGUUUGUCUUGAUUGGAAAUAUUGUUAGAAGGUGGAAGGGAUUCUCCGAGAAAUUCCUAAAUCCAGUGCACACGCCUUCCUGUGAAGAGAAAGUGUUGGAUAUGGAUGCAGCAAUGGAAUCCAGGUGGAACUGAAUCAUUUUGGCAUUUGAGAUCACUAUAAUGAUGAAACAUUUCCAGUAUAAUGAAGCUGCAGGAAUGGAUGAGAUCCAGCAGGAAAUGCUGGAGGUGUGGGAUAUUGUUUGAAUGCCAUGGUUAGCAUCCCUUUUCAUAUGGAAGGCUUUUGAGAUAGUACCUCCAAACUCUGAAACUCUGAGCACAGUGCAGUUUGAGAACAAACAGCAGUAGUUAAGAAAAACAUUAAAACGGUACUGGCUCUUUUUUGUGACACUGUAGCCUCUGAAAAAGUGUAAUACAGUUAAAGCAAGCUAAACAUGUUGCAUCAAUCUGUAAUGAGCAAGCAACCACAAGUAAAUACCACAGUCAAGGGAGUAAUAAACAGAAAACAAAUGAGCAAUACACCUUCACAUAUGUGAAGGAAAGCCAUUAUCACAUGGCUCAGGAAAUGUAGUAGUUUACAGAUUGUCAUAGAAACACUGUGUAUCCAGCAUAUAAUCCAGCAGAAAUUUUCAGCCAACAGAUGUCAUGGUGCACAAACCUGUAACUUUUUAGCAUGGUACCCUCUAUAAUGCCUCAUAAAUAACAUGCAAAGUAAACAAAGUUGCAGAGUGCUUUGUUGAUCUAGCUAGUCAUAACUGAUUGAGUAUGACAGAAGGUUACUUCAAUUAUGUGUUAUAAUUUUGCUUUUUAAAAGUUCUGUAAAUACCAUAUUUAGUUAUUGUAAAGAGCAGUUCUGCCCAGAUGGCAAGUUUUCCUCCAAACGAAGUGCUUUUCCUUCCAUUUAAUCUAACCCCAAGAAUGUCAAAUGCAGAGUAACCAUGAUUUGAGCACUAUUUUAUUUCUUUGCUGCAUUAAACUGUUUCUCAGUUUUUUUGGCAUAUACUUGGCUUUUUAUGAAACCUUGCAUUAUUUCCUCUUGUUUGUCAUGUUAUCUGUGGUGUUAUGCGUGUACUUUGAAUAAAUAAGGGGUAGCUGCAGUUUAGACUUUUAUAACAUUAAGGAAAAAAGUUUAUAAUUAGUUAGGUCACUUAUUCUAUCUACAGGGUCAAAAAAUCUUAAACCUAGGUCUAGGCUACAAAUUCAGGCUUUUUUAUGACUGUGUUAUUAGGUACAGGUGGUCAGCUUCAUAAUUCAGCUAGUAAAUGUGGCUUGGGACUACAGUUCUCAGUAUGAACACAAACACUGAAUAAACUAUUGACUCAAAUCUAAAAUUCAAAAGUAUCUUAAAAUGUCAUUGUCUCUGCAGUUAGCAAACUCACCUUCAGUAUAAGGAAGAUUGUUGUGGGUUUUAGCCCCACCCUUUUAAUGUAGAUUCAUAUCUCUGUGUUGACAUUUAAAUCCAGAACUCUUGUGAUGUCAUCCUUUGGAGGAGACAUUGAGAAUACUUACCUACAACUGUUGAUGGUAGCUCAGAUAGAUGUAAAAGAGCCCAUGACACUUGCCAA